RNAcentral lists this unclassified non-coding RNA (692 nucleotides) under Hevea brasiliensis (rubber tree). The record is from RNAcentral. Lineage: Eukaryota; Viridiplantae; Streptophyta; Magnoliopsida; Malpighiales; Euphorbiaceae.
UGUUUUUCUAUUUGGCUUCCUGAUAUUGGGAUGGCUUAAGGUAUCUUAAAGAUGCAAUGUUUUGCUUCUGAUUAUUGAGUGGUGAAAAUGGGAGAUUUUUUUGCACUUGUUUCUUCCACUCCAUUUAUGAAAAUUUCCUUAUUAAUAUCUCGGUUUGUCAUCGGUAUUGACCAUGGUACCUUAUAUAUGUAAUGCGUUUAGACAGAUGCAUGUUUGUGUCUAAGAGAAAAAAAGAGAGCACAAGUGUUGUAUGGUGAAAAUGUUAUAAGAAACCAAUGAGGUCUGCUUACAAAGAGUUUGUUUGACAUUGGCGAAGUCUGAUUGCCUGUUGAAGGAAAUUGAUGUAACUAGUAACCCUAACCCUAAAUAAGGUUGUGCAUUUGACGAGAAUUGAGAACAGAGAACAAAGAGAGCAAUAGAUCAACUAAAAGGCCUAAUUUUCUGGUCACACAACCCUAUUAUUAGCAUAAAAUCUUACUAGAAUAAAGUUUUGAGCAUAAAGUCCUAAUAGAAUAAGGUAUUGAACAUAAAAUCCUAAUACAAUUAAGUCUAAGAUUUGACCAUUAUAAAUAAAGUAUACCAGAUUCAAGACAAAGAAACCAAUUCCAAAAAAUUAUGUCCUGAUCAAAUUAACAUUGUAAAUGACCAAUAACCCUAAAUUUAAAUUUGUUCUAGUAGUGUGAACAGUGACA